UGGGGAAUAUUGCACAAUGGGCGCAAGCCUGAUGCAGCGACGCCGCGUUGCGGGAUGGAGGCCUUCGGGUUGUAAACCGCUUUUGUUCAAGGGCAAGGCACGGCUUCGGGCCGUGUUGAGUGGAUUGUUCGAAUAAGCACCGGCUAACUACGUGCC
This 156-nucleotide ribosomal RNA is filed under the name uncultured bacterium. RNAcentral describes it as "partial 16S ribosomal RNA". It matches the Rfam family "Bacterial small subunit ribosomal RNA", at positions 355 to 509 of the family's 1533-position model. The record is from RNAcentral.